AUGAUGAUGAUGAUCAUGAUGAUGAUGAUGAUGAAAGAGAUGUAGAGAAAGGGAGAGAGAAAGAGAGAAGAUGUAUCCAUCCAACCAACUUGACCCAGGCUCCUGCCCGUCUUUGCACACAAACACACAAGAUGUUUCUUUCGGAUGUCCAAAACACAAGCCAACAAUAACAACAACCACCAGAGAACAUCCAAGCAAUCCCCUAAGGGCUUACGUGUGUAUGAGAGAAAGAGAGAAAGAAAGGAAAGUGGGGCGGGGGGGUUGGGAAGGAAA
Molecule: long non-coding RNA, 273 nt
Organism: Vespa mandarinia (Asian giant hornet)
Lineage: Eukaryota; Metazoa; Arthropoda; Insecta; Hymenoptera; Vespidae
Source: RefSeq, a predicted model, not a curated record